RNAcentral lists this ribosomal RNA (400 nucleotides) under uncultured bacterium. Its description in RNAcentral is "bacterial SSU rRNA". It matches the Rfam family "Bacterial small subunit ribosomal RNA", at positions 355 to 752 of the family's 1533-position model. The record is from RNAcentral.
UGAGGAAUAUUGGUCAAUGGACGAAAGUCUGAACCAGCCAUGCCGCGUGCAGGAUGAAUGCCCUAUGGGUUGUAAACUGCUUUUAUGUAGGAAUAAACCCCCUCUCGUGAGAGGGGCUGAAGGUACUACAAGAAUAAGGACCGGCUAACUCCGUGCCAGCAGCCGCGGUAAUACGGAGGGUCCAAGCGUUAUCCGGAUUUAUUGGGUUUAAAGGGUCCGCAGGCGGGAAAAUAAGUCAGUGGUGAAAUCCUAUCGCUUAACGAUAGAACUGCCAUUGAUACUGUUUUUCUUGAGUGUAAUUGAAGUGGGCGGAAUGUGUCAUGUAGCGGUGAAAUGCAUAGAUAUGACACAGAACACCGAUUGCGAAGGCAGCUCACUAAAUUAUUACUGACGCUCAGGG